UACGUAGGGACCAAGCGUUGUUCGGAUUUACUGGGCGUAAAGGGCGCGUAGGCGGCGUGGUAAGUCACUUGUGAAAUCUCUGAGCUUAACUCAGAACGGCCAAGUGAUACUGCUGUGCUAGAGUGCAGAAGGGGCAAUCGGAAUUCUUGGUGUAGCGGUGAAAUGCGUAGAUAUCAAGAGGAACACCUGAGGUGAAGACGGGUUGCUGGGCUGACACUGACGCUGAGGCGCGAAAGCCUGGGGAGCAAACGGG
Molecule: ribosomal RNA, 253 nt
Filed under: uncultured bacterium
Lineage: Bacteria
Description: partial 16S ribosomal RNA
Rfam family: Bacterial small subunit ribosomal RNA
Source: RNAcentral